Pecten maximus is the source of this 3603-nucleotide long non-coding RNA. RefSeq lists it as uncharacterized. The record is from RefSeq and is a predicted model, not a curated record. The transcript is spliced from 2 exons. NCBI's taxonomy places the organism in Eukaryota, Metazoa, Mollusca, Bivalvia, Pectinida, Pectinidae.
GUUAGAGGCUCUAUACUCCGUCCCAGAUGGAGGUUAGAGGGUCUAUACUCCCUCCCAUGUGAAGGUUAGAGGGUCUAUACUCCCUCCCAGAUGGAGGUUAGAGGGUCUAUACUCCCUCCCAGAUGGAGGUUAGAGGCUCUAUACUCCCUCCCAGAUUGAGGUUAGAGGGUCUAUACUCUGUCCCAGAUGGAGGUUAGAGGCUCUAUACUUCAUUCCAGAUGGAGGUUAGAGGGUCUAUACUCCGUCCCAGAUGGAGGUUAGAGGGUCUAUACUCCCUCCCAGAUGGAGGUUAGAGGGUCUAUACUCCCUCCUAGAUGGAGGUUAGAGGGUCUAUACUCCGUCCCAGAUGCAUGUUAGAGGGUUUAUACUCCCUCCCAUGUGAAGGUUAGAGGGUCUAUACUCCCUCCUAGAUGGGGGUUAGAGGGUCUAUACUCCCUCCCAGAUGGAGGUUAGAGGGUCUAUACUCCCUCCCAUGUGAAGGUUAGAGGGUCUAUACUCCCUCCCAGAUGGAGGUUAGAGGCUCUAUACUCCCUCCCAGAUUGAGGUUAGAGGGUCUAUACUCCCUCCCAGAUUGAGGUUAGAGGGUCUAUACUCCGUCCCAGAUGGAGGUUAGAGGGUCUAUACUCCCUCCCAGAUGGAGGUUAGAGGCUCUAUACUCCCUCCCAGAUUGAGGUUCGAGGCUCUAUACUCUGUCCCAGAUGGAGGUUAGAGGCUCUAUACUCCGUCCCAGAUGGAGGUUAGAGGGUUUACACUCCGUCCCAGAUGGAGGUUAGAGGGUCUUUACUCCCUCCCAGAUGGAUGUUAGAGGGUCUAUACUCCCUCCUAGAUGGAGGUUAGAGGGUCUAUACUCCGUCCCAGAUGGAUGUUAGAGGGUUUAUACUCCCUCCCAUGUGAAGGUUAGAGGGUCUAUACUCCCUCCUAGAUGGAGGUUAGAGGGUCUAUACUCCCUCCCAGAUUGAGGUUAGAGGGUCUAUACUCCCUCCUAGAUGGAGGUUAGAUGGUCUAUACUCCAUCCCAGAUGGAGGUUAGAGGGUCUAUACUCCCUCCCAGAUGGAGGUUAGAGGGUCUAUACUCCCUCCCAGAUGGAGGUUAGAGGGUUUAUACUCCCUCCUAUGUUGACCAUAGCAAUAAUUAAUUAAAAUAGAAACUUAAUAUAUAUAUAUUAGAAGAGACCAGUGGGAAAUUUGUGUUUUGUAUUUAUUUAUUUUUGUGGUUAUAAAUACUGUAUACAAAAACUACAACAACUUCCAUAUCCCUGUCAAUUUUAUUUGAUUUUAUAGCAAAUAUUUGUUAUAAAAGGAUAGAAUUGAUCAAUAUUCCUGGACAUUCCAUUCCUGCCUGGCUCUCUAUGGUAAUGAAUCCCUGGACAUUCCAUUCCUGUCUGGCUCUCUAUGGUAAUGAAUCCCUGGACAUUCCAUUCCUGCCUGGCUCUCUAUGGUAAUGAAUCCCUGGACAUUCCAUUCCUGUCUGUCUCUCUAUGGUAAUGAAUCCCUGGACAUUCCAUUCCUGCCUGGCUCUCUAUGGUAAUGAAUCCCUGGACAUUCCAUUCCUGUCUGUAUCUCUAUGGUAAUGAAUCCCUGGACAUUCCAUUCCUGCCUGGCUCUCUAUGGUAAUGAAUCCCUGGACAUUCCAUUCCUGCCUGGCUCUCUUUGGUAAUGAAUCCCUGGACAUUCCAUUCCUGCCUGUCUCUCUAUGGUAAUGAAUCCCUGGACAUUCCAUUCCUGUCUGUCUCUCUAUGGUAAUGAAUUCGUGAUCAUUCCAUUCCUGCCUGGCUCUCUAUGCUAAUGAAUCCUUGGACAUUCCAUUCCUGCCUGGCUCUCUAUGCUAAUGAAUCCUUGGACAUUCCAUUCCUGCCUGGCUCUCUAUGCUAAUGAAUCCUUGGACAUUCCAUUCCUGCCUGGCUCUCUAUGCUAAUGAAUCCCUUGACAUUCCAUUCCUGCCUGGCUCUCUAUGCUAAUGAAUCCCUUGACAUUCCAUUCCUGCCUGGCUCUCUAUGCUAAUGAAUCCCUGGACAUUCCAUUCCUGCCUGUCUCUCUAUGCUAAUGAAUCCCUUGACAUUCCAUUCCUGCCUGUCUGUCUAUAGUAAUGAAUCCCUGGACAUUCCAUUCCUGCCUGUCUGUCUAUAGUAAUGAAUCCCUUGACAUUCCAUUCCUGCCUGGCUCUCUAUGCUAAUAAAUCCCUGGACAUUCCAUUCCUGUCUGUCUCUCUAUGCUAAUGAAUUCGUGAUCAUUCCAUUCCUGCCUGGCUCUCUAUGGUAAUGAAUCCCUGGACAUUCCAUUCCUACCUGGCUCUCUAUGGUAAUGAAUCCGUGAUCAUUCCAUUCCUGCCUGUCUGUCUAUGGUAAUGAAUCCCGUGACAUUCCAUUCCUGCCUGUCUGUCUAUAGUAAUGAAUCCCUGGACAUUCCAUUCCUGCCUGUCUGUCUAUAGUAAUGAAUCCCUGGACAUUCCAUUCCUGCCUGUCUGUCUAUAGUAAUGAAUCCCUGGACAUUCCAUUCCUGCCUGUCUGUCUAUAGUAAUAAAUCCCUGGACAUUCCAUUCCUGCCUGUCUGUCUAUAGUAAUGAAUCCCUGGACAUUCCAUUCCUGCCUGUCUGUCUAUAGUAAUAAAUCCCUGGACAUUCCAUUCCUGCCUGGCUCUCUAUGCUAAUGAAUUCCUGAGCAUUCCAUUCCUGCCUGGCUCUCUAUAGUAAUAAAUCCCUUGACAUUCCAUUCCUGCCUGUCUGUCUAUAGUAAUGAAUCCCUGGACAUUCCAUUCCUGCCUGGCUCUCUAUGGUAAUGAAUCCCUUGACAUUACAUUCCUGCCUGUCUGUCUAUAGUAAUGAAUCCCUGGACAUUCCAUUCCUGCCUGUCUGUCUAUAGUAAUGAAUCCCUUGACAUUCCAUUCCUGCCUGGCUCUCUAUGGUAAUGAAUCCCUUGACAUUCCAUUCCUGCCUGGCUCUCUAUGGUAAUGAAUCCCUUGACAUUCCAUUCCUGCCUGGCUCUCUUUGGUAAUAAAUCCCUGGACAUUCCAUUCCUGCCUGUCUGUCUAUGGUAAUAAAUCCCUGGACAUUCCAUUCCUGCCUGUCUCUCUAUGGUAAUGAAUCCCUGGACAUUCCAUUCCUGCCUGGCUCUCUAUGGUAAUAAAUCCCUGGACAUUCCAUUCCUGCCUGUCUCUCUAUGGUAAUGAAUCCCUUGACAUUCCAUUCCUGCCUGGCUCUCUUUGGUAAUGAAUCCCUGGACAUUCCAUUCCUGUAUGGCUCUCUAUGGUAAUGAAUCCCUGGACAUUCCAUUCCUGUAUGGCUCUCUUUGGUAAUGAAUCCCUGGACAUUCCAUUCCUGUAUGGCUCUCUAUGGUAAUGAAUCCCUGGACAUUCCAUUCCUGUAUGGGUAUGUUCAGUGGGGAUCACUGGACCUUAGUCACGUAAUAUUAAUGUUAGUUUUGUUGCUAUUCUUUUUGAAAUAGUUAAAUAGUACUAGUGUUAAUUAAUUAAAGUCUAUUGUAAUACACUCUGUAUCACUGGCGUGUACUUAUGCUCUCUUUGAUAACAAUUAAAUGAAGAAUUGAUUAGUUUAUAUAUUAGUUUCAAAGAAAAAUCUAACGAAUAAUAAAUCAUGUAGAAAAUCAAA